AUUGAACGCUGGCGGAAUGCUUUACACAUGCAAGUCGAACGGCAGCACGGGUGCUUGCACCUGGUGGCGAGUGGCGAACGGGUGAGUAAUAUAUCGGAACGUAUCCAAUAAUGGGGGAUAACUAGCCGAAAGGUUAGCUAAUACCGCAUACGCCCGGAGGGGGAAAGCUGGGGAUCGUAAGACCUAGCGUUGAUGGAGCGGCCGAUAUCUGAUUAGCUAGUUGGUGGGGUAAGAGCCUACCAAGGCGACGAUCAGUAGCUGGUCUGAGAGGACGACCAGCCACACUGGAACUGAGACACGGUCCAGACUCCUACGGGAGGCAGCAGUGGGGAAUUUUGGACAAUGGGGGCAACCCUGAUCCAGCCAUUCCGCGUGAGUGAAGAAGGCCUUCGGGUUGUAAAGCUCUUUCGCAAGGGAAGAAAACUCGAUCUCUAAUAUAGGUUGAGGCUGACGGUACCUUGAUAAGAAGCGCCGGCUAACUACGUGCCAGCAGCCGCAGUAA
Molecule: ribosomal RNA, 502 nt
Filed under: uncultured bacterium
Lineage: Bacteria
Description: partial 16S ribosomal RNA
Rfam family: Bacterial small subunit ribosomal RNA
Source: RNAcentral